GUGGCAGCCGCCGCGGUAAUACGGAGGGUGCAAGCGUUAUCCGGAUUCAUUGGGUUUAAAGGGUGCGCAGGCGGAUACUUAAGUCAGUGGUGAAAUCCCGGGCUCAACCCCGGAACUGCCAUUGAUACUGAAUAUCUGGAAUACGGUUGAAGUGGGCGGAAUGUAGCAUGUAGCGGUGAAAUGCAUAGAGAUGCUACAGAACACCGAUCGCGAAGGCAGCUCACUAAGCCGAUAUUGACGCUCAGGCACGAAAGCGUGGGGAGCGAACAGGAUUAGAUACCCUGGUAGUCCACGCCGUAAACGAUGAUAACUCGUUGUUGGCGACACACAGUCAGCGACUAAGCGAAAGCGAUAAGUUAUCCACCUGGGGAGUACGAUCGCAAGGUUGAAACUCAAAUGAAUUGGCGG
Molecule: ribosomal RNA, 408 nt
Filed under: uncultured bacterium
Lineage: Bacteria
Description: bacterial SSU rRNA
Rfam family: Bacterial small subunit ribosomal RNA
Source: RNAcentral